Molecule: long non-coding RNA, 638 nt
Filed under: Phasianus colchicus (ring-necked pheasant)
Lineage: Eukaryota; Metazoa; Chordata; Aves; Galliformes; Phasianidae
Description: lncRNA (ENSPCLG00000016423.1)
Source: RNAcentral
AAUAGGUGUUUUCAAAAUAGUACAGUCCCAAGGGCUUGAAGAAGAUGUAAAAUUAAGUAGAUACAUGGACACAGCACUGGAAGUACUUUAAAAUAGUGAAAAACAUAAUCCAUCUAGUGUUUUGUUGUUGUUGUUGUUGUUGUUUUAGUUCUUUUCUUGAAACUUUUUCUGUUUUUUUUGUCAGUCUUAGAAACUGAACUGCAUAUAGCAUUAUAUAGAUUUUCUGUUCACUCCCUAUUCAAACUACAGCAAUGGGUGAUGAUUUUCUGUCCACAGCAGUCUAUUUGGUGCAGACAUCAUCCCUUAGGACUCAACACUGUUGUCACUUGGAGUGGCCAUUUUUUAUCCAGCACACUUCAAGAACUUGCACAGCUCCUAUGGAAACGAUACUCAGACCACCCUCAUUCUGGCCACUUUGGCAGCUUUCUUUCCCAUGUGAGGCAUGAAGAAAGAUGAUAUCUACUCUUAUUCUCUUGAGGAUUCUUCUAGAAGACUUCAUGAGUUCCUAUUAGUGACUGAUGAAGCGACAAAGUCUGAAGCUUUAAUGAAAUUAAAAAAAAAAAAAAAAAUCAUUUUAUAUCUUGAGGGAGGAAGGAAGAUAUUCCUGAAUAGAAUUGGCCUAACUGGAAAACAAAAAU